RNAcentral lists this long non-coding RNA (1527 nucleotides) under Marmota monax (woodchuck). Lineage: Eukaryota; Metazoa; Chordata; Mammalia; Rodentia; Sciuridae. The record is from RNAcentral.
AUUUGAUAACUAAUUUUUGUUCUGUUUUCAGCCCUGGGAAUAUGUCAUUGGACCAGAAAAUGUUCUGUCCUCAUGGAGCUUGCUGGCUGAGGGCUGGGAGCAUCAAGCUUCCAGGUCCCUGUUUCAUAAAGUGUCCCUGGGAUCGGCGUCAUCUGUAUGGCCUGGGAGCUGGAGAGAAAUACAGCAGCAUCUCAGCCACCUUGACCUGCUGAAUCACAGUCUGCAUUGUAACAAGACCCCCUGGGAUCCACAUGGCUGACAAGCUGGGCUUGAGUUUCCGUAGCAUUUAGAAAAAGCAAUUUCUACCUGCGCUUCCCUCCCUGGAAAAUUCACACCCUCUUGCUGGGGUUUAAAGCAGAGCUCCUUCUGUUUCUACCUCUCCUUCUCCUCCUCCUUCUUCUUCUUCAACAUAUAUAGAUUUUCCUCUUGGUCACAAAAGUUCAUUGCAUGCUUUUUGGAAAUCACAAACAUGCAAACACAUGCACGCGUAAACACGUCGUUGAGUGUGCACGCACGUGCACACACACACACACCCAUACACACACACACAAAGAAAAUCAAAAUCACCCAAAUUGCUCACCAUCCAGAGAUGACACCAUUAAUAUCUCCUCAUCUGCCAGACGUUUUUAUACACAUUUUUUUUUCAACAAAAUGUCAAGAAAAGGUAGAAUCACGUUGCCUGUUAGUUCUCGACAUGGAGCAUGCACCCACAGGAAGGCUGGCUCAAACACAGAUUGCUGAGCCUGACCCCCACAGGAUUUCAACCAGAAGCCCUGGGACCAUGCCUGGGGACUGGCAUGUCUAGCUAGUUCCAGGUGGUGUGGAGUCACUGGUCCGGGGACCACACUUUGGGAACCACUGGACUCUGGGCCUAAGCAUCAGUGGUUGGAAUCCAGCUCUACCACCUGCUACCUGGCCACAGGGUAGAUUCUGCAGCUAGAAGGACAGUACCCACCUCUUAAGAUCAUUCUGAGAACUACAUGAGCUAAUUAAAUUAGCAAGGCACAAAGGAAGCAUUAAUUACAAUAAAUAUGCCUAUAAUUUUAAAAUCUAGGUUUCUUAACAAUCGUUCAUAAGCAUUUUUGUCAUGUCUUUAUUCUUCUGUGUAUUUGUUUUUAAAGGCUCCUGGAUUGUCCCUCAUGUUGAUGCAUCGGUCUGGUCCCCAGUCUUUGACUACACAGCACUGUGAUGAGCAUUCCCGUGGAUAAAUCACCGCACCUGUCUGCCUAUUUCCUGAGGACAGAAUGUGCUAAAUGUGAAAUCGCUGAGAAAAAAAUCACAUGACUGUGUUUAAGGCUUUUGAUAAAUUUUGCUAAAUGGUCUUCCAGAAAAAUUAAACCCAUGCAAAAUGCUACCAGCCACCCACGAGAUAUCUUUUCUCUACAAUCUCAUUAAUGUCCCAUGUGACUGUUUCUUUUUUUUAAUCAUGUCAAUAUUUUGUUUGUUCAUUUGGAUUUCUUGGAUGACUACUGAAAUGGGGACCAUCCCUCCCUCAAAUAUCUUAGGGCUUUAAGUUUUUAAAAAUUA